GUGCCAGCAGCCGCGGUAAUACGUAGGUGGCAAGCGUUGUCCGGAUUUAUUGGGCGUAAAGCGAGCGCAGGCGGUUUUUUAGGUCUGAUGUGAAAGCCUUCGGCUUAACCGGAGAAGUGCAUCGGAAACCGGGAGACUUGAGUGCAGAAGAGGACAGUGGAACUCCAUGUGUAGCGGUGAAAUGCGUAGAUAUAUGGAAGAACACCAGUGGCGAAGGCGGCUGUCUGGUCUGCAACUGACGCUGGGGCUCGAAAGCAUGGGUAGCGAACAGGAUUAGAUACCCUGGUAGUCCAUGCCGUAAACGAUGAGUGCUAAGUGUUGGAGGGUUUCCGCCCUUCAGUGCUGCAGCUAACGCAUUAAGCACUCCGCCUGGGGAGUACGACCGCAAGGUUGAAACUCAAAGGAAUUGACGGGGGCCCGCACAAGCGGUGGAGCAUGUGGUUUAAUUCGAUGCUACGCGAAGAACCUUACCAGGUCUUGACAUCUUCUGCUAACCUAAGAGAUUAGGCGUUCCCUUCGGGGACGGAAUGACAGGUGGUGCAUGGUUGUCGUCAGCUCGUGUCGUGAGAUGUUGGGUUAAGUCCCGCAACGAGCGCAACCCUUAUUGUCAGUUGCCAGCAUUCAGUUGGGCACUCUGGCGAGACUGCCGGUGACAAACCGGAGGAAGGUGGGGAUGACGUCAAAUCAUCAUGCCCCUUAUGACCUGGGCUACACACGUGCUACAAUGGACGGUACAACGAGUCGCGAAACCGCGAGGUCAAGCUAAUCUCUGAAAGCCGUUCUCAGUUCGGAUUGCAGGCUGCAACUCGCCUGCAUGAAGUUGGAAUCGCUAGUAAUCGUGGAUCAGCAUGCCACGGUGAAUACGUUCCCGGGCCUUGUACACACCGCCCGUCACACCAUGAGAGUUUGUAACACCCAAGGCCGGUGAGGUAACCUUCGGGGGCCAGCCGUCUAAGGUGGGACAGAUGAUUAGGGUG
Molecule: ribosomal RNA, 977 nt
Filed under: uncultured Lactobacillus sp.
Lineage: Bacteria; Bacillati; Bacillota; Bacilli; Lactobacillales; Lactobacillaceae
Description: bacterial SSU rRNA
Rfam family: Bacterial small subunit ribosomal RNA
Source: RNAcentral